GCUGCCCCUGGAGGCGUUGCAGGCGGGGCUGCCGUGCCGCGCGUGCGUCGUCAGGUGGCGGACAGCAGCGGGCUGGUCUACGCCAGGCACCCUGGGUGGGCCGCCGGGUGAUUGGUAGCCGGACACU
Small nucleolar RNA from Talpa occidentalis (Iberian mole), 127 nucleotides. RefSeq annotates it as small nucleolar RNA SNORA17. The transcript has a single exon. The record is from RefSeq and is a predicted model, not a curated record. Lineage: Eukaryota; Metazoa; Chordata; Mammalia; Eulipotyphla; Talpidae.